AUUGUGUAUCUACCUAUAUUGGCUUCUCCGGCAGGCGGUUCCAGGGCGGAAUCGAGCCUAACAGCACCUGCCGAAGGGGCAAACCACUGCUCUAAACGUAUUGUCUGAGUACCAAAAAAACAAAUUAUCAAAAUUUUCAAUUGUGGAUCUCUUGGUUCUGGCAUCGAUGAAGAACGCAGCGAAAUGCGAUAAGUAAUGUGAAUUGCAGAAUUCAGCGAACCAUCGAAUCUUUGAACGCACAUUGCGCCCAUUAGUAUUCUAGUGGGCAUGCCUGUUCGAGCGUCAUUUCAACCCUUAAGCCUAGCUUAGUGUUGGCUAUCUACUGUAUUGUAGUGGCCUAAAUACAACGGCGGAUCUGUGGUAUCCUCUGAGCGUAGUAAUUUUUUUCUCUCGCUUUUGUUAGGUGCUGCAGCCCUCGGCCGCUAAACCCCCCAAUUUUUAAUGGUUGACCUCGGAUCAGGUAGGGAUACCCGCUGAACUUAAGCAUAUCAAU
Molecule: ribosomal RNA, 493 nt
Filed under: uncultured fungus
Lineage: Eukaryota; Fungi
Description: eukaryotic LSU rRNA
Rfam family: 5.8S ribosomal RNA (bases 132-285)
Source: RNAcentral